Molecule: ribosomal RNA, 396 nt
Filed under: Planctomycetota bacterium
Lineage: Bacteria; Pseudomonadati; Planctomycetota
Description: bacterial SSU rRNA
Rfam family: Bacterial small subunit ribosomal RNA
Source: RNAcentral
AAAUCGAAGAGUUUGAUCCUGGCUCAGCGCGAACGCUGGCGGCAUGGUUAAAGCAUGCAAGUCGAACGAUUAAAGCCCCUUCGGGGGUGUAUACAGUGGCGAAAGGGCGAGGAAUACGUUCCUACGUACCCCGAGGUCGAGGACAGCCCGGGGAAACCCGGUGUAAUACUCGAUGUGGUCCCGGCUUAGUCGGGAUCAAAGGCUUCGGCCGCCUUGGGAGCGGGGAACGUCCUAUCAGGUUGUUGGUGGGGUAACGGCUCACCAAGCCGAAGACGGGUAGCGGGUGUGAGAGCACGAACCGCCGCAUCGGGACUGAGACACUGCCCGGACUCCUACGGGAGGCUGCAGCAACGAAUCUUCCGCAAUGCGCGAAAGCGUGACGGAGCAAUGCCGCGU